CGCAGACGUAACCGUGUUCGCGGUAAGACGACGGCGUCGACCGAAUGACCUACGGUUGCGGUACGAUCGACGCGGCGAGACGAAAACCUACCCACUCCCCGGACUUUUCGCUUGCUGUCGAAGACGACGACUGCGAGUGACGUAUUGCACAUGCGGACACUACCGGUCGCAACAACACGUGUGCCACGGUGUAAACGGCGACUGCAGCAACAGUUGAACGCGCGACGACGACGACCACUACAUGCGGUACCGGUCCGACUGUUGCGCACUGCGCAGUGGCGUGUGGCGCCGCGGCGGACGGCGAUGCGGUUCGGCGGCCGUCGGCUCGCCCGCAUCUGCGAGACUUUGAUCGCACUCGGAACGGCUGUGCCAACAGAGAGCGCGCGCACCGACUAUAAUAUUAUUAUAAUAUUAGGACUAUAUUAUUGUGAUAUUAUUAUUAUAUUAAUUGUAAAAACAUAACUGAUAUUCCUAAUAUGUAAACAUUUAAUCUAAGGCCCUUGUUUUUCACUAGCAGGUUUAAACUUGUUAAAUAAAGCUCUGCUUCAAACUAUCAACUGUAAA
Rhopalosiphum padi (bird cherry-oat aphid) is the source of this 564-nucleotide long non-coding RNA. RefSeq lists it as uncharacterized. The transcript has 2 exons. The record is from RefSeq and is a predicted model, not a curated record. Lineage: Eukaryota; Metazoa; Arthropoda; Insecta; Hemiptera; Aphididae.